CCUACGGGUGGCAGCAGUGAGGAAUAUUGGUCAAUGGACGCAAGUCUGAACCAGCCAUGCCGCGUGCAGGAAGACGGCUCUAUGAGUUGUAAACUGCUUUUGUACGAGGGUAAACGCAGAUACGCGUAUCUGUCUGAAAGUAUCGUACGAAUAAGGAUCGGCUAAAUCCGUGCCAGCAGCCGCGGGAAUACGGAGGAUUCAAGCGUUAUCCGGAUUUAAUGGGUUUAAAGGGUGCGUAGGCGGUCGGAUAAGUUAGAGGUUAAAUGCCGAGGCUCAACUUCGGAAUUGCCUUUGAUACUGUUCGGCUAGAGAGUAGGUGCGGUAUGCGGAAUGUAUGGUGUAGCGGUGAAAUGCUUAGAGAUCAUACAGAACACCGAUUGCGAAGGCAGCGUACCAAGCUACUUCUGACGUUGAGGCACGAAAGCGUGGGGAGCAAACAGGAUUAGAUACCCCAGUAGUC
RNAcentral lists this ribosomal RNA (460 nucleotides) under uncultured bacterium. Its description in RNAcentral is "partial 16S ribosomal RNA". It matches the Rfam family "Bacterial small subunit ribosomal RNA", at positions 338 to 795 of the family's 1533-position model. The record is from RNAcentral.